This 85-nucleotide transfer RNA is filed under the name Candidatus Bathyarchaeota archaeon. RNAcentral describes it as "tRNA-Leu". Lineage: Archaea; Thermoproteati; Candidatus Bathyarchaeota. The record is from RNAcentral.
GCAGGGAUUCAUAGUAACGUGAGUUGCGAAACUGAGGCUCCUGUGGCGUAGGCCUUCGUGGGUUCAAAUCCCACCCCCCGCACCA